This is a long non-coding RNA of Cucurbita moschata (crookneck pumpkin), 297 nucleotides long. RefSeq lists it as uncharacterized. NCBI's taxonomy places the organism in Eukaryota, Viridiplantae, Streptophyta, Magnoliopsida, Cucurbitales, Cucurbitaceae. The record is from RefSeq and is a predicted model, not a curated record. The transcript has 3 exons.
CACAUCGAUUGGAGAGGGAAAUGAACGUCAGCAAGACAGUGGACCCCGAAAGGAGGUGGAUUGUGAGAUCCCUCAUCGAUUGGAGAGUGGAGCAAAUGUAGCGAGGAUGCUAGACCACGAAGGGGGUGGAUUGUGAGAUCCCACAUCGAUUGGAGAAGUGAAUAAGGAUACGAAUGCCAACAAGAACACUGGGCCUUGAAAGGAGGUAGAUUGUGAGAUCCCACAUCGGUUGGAGAGGAAAAUGAAACAUUUUUAUAAGGGAUGGAAACCUUUCCGUAACAGACGUAUUUUAAAAAU